AAGGGUAAAGAUGGCUUCGGCUGUCGCUUCAGGAUUGGCUCGCGGCCUAUCAGCUUGUUGGGGGUAAAGGCUUACCAAGGCGACGAUCCAUAGCUGGUUUGAGAGAAUGAUCAGCCACACUGGGACUGAGACACGGCCCAG
RNAcentral lists this ribosomal RNA (141 nucleotides) under uncultured bacterium. RNAcentral's name for it is "partial 16S ribosomal RNA". It matches the Rfam family "Bacterial small subunit ribosomal RNA", at positions 197 to 334 of the family's 1533-position model. The record is from RNAcentral.